GAUUGCUCUUAUAUUGGACUGUGGCUGCAUUCAAAAUGGUUCUCAGCUGUUCCCUGGAGCAACUUCACUUAAAAUAGAAUCUCUGUUGGUUCAGCCAUGUCCAGUCCCGCUCUGUUGUUACCAGGAAAAAUUAGCUUUGACAUUGAAGGUGGAGUUCUGUCUUUUAACCCCUUCCAGUUUCUGUGACAGAAUGGCCUUACCCCAGAGGAAGUGAGAUUCCAGUAUGAAGAAGCUGUGAGAAACCAGAGAAACCCACUGCUUUAUGCUGUGGUAUUUGUGGGCAACUUCUUGAAUCCUUGCCUAAGGGAGAGGGCUAGUCAAUCUGGUCUAGCAUUGUGGGUCUCCCAUCAAAGACUCUUUGGUCUAUCUGAAAAGGUGGCUUUACCCCCAACUAAAAGAACAGUGGGGCAGAGGGUAGAUGCUGACUAUUGUGAAAAAGUGUAAAGUGAAUUAGAAAGAAAGACCCUUAAGAUACUUUCAAAGAGAAUAUUAAAAUACAAAUAGAGAAUUUCUUUGAUUAAUAGAUUUAUUUUCUAGAGCAAUUCACAGCAGGUUCACUGCAAAAUUGGGCAGAAAGUACAAUGAGUUCCAUAUGCCCCUUUUCCUACAUGUGUAUAACCCUUUACUCCUCAUCAGCAUCCCUCACCACCGUGAUCCACUUUUUGUUGUUGGUGGUGGUUGUGGGGCUUGAACUCAGGGCCUGGACACUGUCCCUGAGCCUCUUUGUGCUCAAAGCUAGUGCUCUACCAAUCAAGCCACAGCUUUUGAGUCUUAGUUGAACACAGGUUUUGUGGCUUAAAAUUGUGCCAGAUGCCACUGUACUACACUGGCUUUUCUAGAUGCUAAUUAGUGCUGAUCCUAUUGACUUUACACCAGUGAAAAUCACAGGCAUAAAUGUCAUUUAAUUAAUAAUACAAAAUGAAAUAGCAAUUUCACUUUGAAGUUUCUGUUUGCUUGUUAUGAUUUUAGGUUGGUUCCAAUCCUCACUAGGAGUUUCUUGUGUUUGAAAGUGUCAUAGGAAUGUUGUAGUUCUUAUGCUAUGAGAUCUGCAUAUUUCAACAGUAGCUCUUUAACCAAGAAAGGUUAAGUGCUUUGCUCAAGGUUCUGCUAUUGAUCUGACUCUUCCUAUGUUACCAGCUCUCCAAGUAUGUAGCCACCACAGUUUUGAGGGACGAGGUAUCUCUCACCCUCACCCAGACAUUUUAGAUAUAUAUACACAUCACUUGGGUUUUCCUUAUGGUGGCUGAGAGCGAAUGUAAUGAACAAUUGUUUGCAUUUGCUGUCUGGAUGGGAAUAGAAGUGCUUUCAUACAUCUCGAGCACAGUUGAGAUAUCCUUCUCUAGCAAGUAGCCUACAAGGAGUCCUGGAGGGGCUGUAAAUUAUCUGCCUUCUGAACACUUCAAGGUGUCACAGAGGUCCUGCAGAAACAAUUAAACCUGAGAGGCUCACUUGCGAUCAGGCUGAGACAUUGGAGCUGUGAUUAUUGGCCCAAACUCCUUCCUUUCCAAAUAAGUUGCAAUUUGUAGGCAGGGAGAGAAUUGGUUAGAGACAUCUUAAGUUUUACAGGUUGUGUUCCACAAUUGCGCCUUUCGCUAGUAUUCUAGGGAGAUAGGUCACCAAGCGCUGGUAUUUUUG
This is a long non-coding RNA of Perognathus longimembris pacificus (Pacific pocket mouse), 1635 nucleotides long. RefSeq lists it as uncharacterized. Lineage: Eukaryota; Metazoa; Chordata; Mammalia; Rodentia; Heteromyidae. The record is from RefSeq and is a predicted model, not a curated record. The transcript has 3 exons.